RNAcentral lists this unclassified non-coding RNA (5752 nucleotides) under Pomacea canaliculata. RNAcentral's name for it is "alpha-(1,3)-fucosyltransferase C-like, transcript variant X3". The record is from RNAcentral. Lineage: Eukaryota; Metazoa; Mollusca; Gastropoda; Architaenioglossa; Ampullariidae.
AAAGACCUGGCCGCGAAUAACUAUGAGAGAUGUCGAUCACACCUGCACAAAGUCUGUUGCUGCAAUUGUUUUUCUACCUGUAUAAAACCUUUAAUGGAAAUGAUAAAGCCUACAUUAAUCCACCCUAACCAAAGUUUCUAUUUUUAUCUCUAAAGGGAGGGGUGGAUGCCAUAGCGACUGAGGCCAACAGGACAAGAUGACCUAAUCAGCUGGUGUCAAGCAUGUGAAGUCAUCGGGUAGUGGAAGGUAAUAUCAACUUCAAUCACACCGCCAGUCGCGAUCGCCGAGAAACAGGUUUGAAAUAUUUCUUCUCACAAAUGUGAGACUAUCUUUUUCUAGAUUACAAGAAUCUUCGAAACGAAAGAUCUUACAUUAUCAUGUCUAGUUGAAAAUGUGUCCUCCUUUCGUACAGUUUGUUCAGAUUAUUGUUUACUAAAUAAUAGCAACAUGCCGACACUGAUUCAAAAUGGCGGACCACCUUGCAGCUUCUGAUAAUGAUAUUACAAACUAAUUAUUUUUCUAAAACACAGAAAGCUAACACUUAAACCAGUUCUUAAAAGAAUUUCCAUCUAAUAUCCCUUACACAGUUUAACUACUUCAAUUUAGGAAUCUGUUUUCAUAUUUUUUGUGCCGAUCAAAUGAAGAAAUCGCGGUUGAACAGAAAGAUAAAAUAUAGUCUUGCUCAUGAAAUUUUACAACAGCUUAAAGUUAAACAAAUCUUUUGGCCUUUAUGAGACAGACAACAAUGCACGUAACAAUCUGCUAUUAUUGUUUCUUCACUUUAUGUUUUGAUUUUUGUAUCUCACCUGUUCAAAUCUCUAUUUGAGCCCGAAACCGUGUGUUAAAUUGUUUUGACUUUUGUUGCUUCUGAGUAUAACUUCAAUAAAAGUGUUAUUCACCACGCUGUUCUGUGCCAUUAUAUUUUUCCAGUUUAUUUAAAGGGUCUCAAAAAUUCUGCCGAGCCAAGUCAAUCACAAUCUCUGUAAUAUGCACACUACAUGGGAGAAAGCUAUCUGAAGUGGCCCCUACAAUAAAUGUUGAAGCGAUUUGGGUCCGCCUACCCUGGAGUGAUCCACGUAUAAAUAAUCGCUUUAGCCGCUACUUGCGGGUAGCAAAUAUACCCAGAUUAACAAGCUGUACAAACGUGCUUCAUGAAAGAAAAAGGUUUUUAAAAUUACUUCGAUGUUUAUAACCUGCAACUAUGUAAAAUUAGCAGUCAUGGGCCCUGUACUGACCGUGCAAGGUGCUAAUCAACAAGUCCAAUUUAUUACACGCUUGUACGGCUGUUGAGCCUUUCAGUUUGCAAACAGUUUAAAAUCAGAGGCACAUCUAAAAACUCUGCGGCUACAUACUAUGUUGCGUAGUUGAGCGUUCAACAGGUCGAAAACUUCGACAAUAAGAAAGCAGACGAAAGCAAAGAUAACCCCGUGACCUGACGGUGGUAGAGGAGCGAGGUGGUGAAAGACUGUCUUAUCUCAGGGUCACCUUUACUCAUUUCCCGUGGUACCUGUCUCAUAAACCUGUAGUACCCACCCCACAACUGUCACUAGGCUGUCCACUUUCUCCUAGCUACAAUCAGUAUAUUUACUAUAAACAGCUGGUCAAUGAUCAUCAAUGAUCAUCAAUCACCAUCAAUCGUCAUCGUCAUUAAUCAUCGUCAGCGUCAUUAGUACUGACCGUACUAAGAAGGCCUGUCAUUGGAGUCAAUCUUGAGCACCUCUUAAGUUGGUCCCCCAUCUGGCAUCAUGACCUGUCUCCCUCCAAUGUUUCCUUUCCUACUACCACGUCCUCUUUCCACCUACUCCUGUAAUACUGUCUUCGAUAAGUCAUGCCGAGCGACGUGGCCGAGCCAAACCCCCUUUCGACGCUUGAUGGUUGCGAGUAGAUGCUCCGGGAGGCCCACCAGAGUGGCGACCGCACAGCGUAUGAAAUAAUUUGUUUUGUAUUCCUUCAAACCAGUCUCAUGAAGGAUCCAGUUCACUAUUAAACCGACCUUCAACAGCCGAGUUCUCAUCGAAAAGCAACGGCAUCACGGGUAAGAUCUUAUUGUAGAAAUCGUGUUUAAAAGUAUAAAUAAAAGACCGUCCUUGGCAACAAAGGUGCAUGUGUAUGAAUUGAUGGCUCACCAUGGCGUUGAACACCGUACGAAGACUUUGAAGAAUAAUAUUUGACAAAAUGUCGUGUCGCUCCCGAUGACAUGGCCAGACCAGACCAGUUUCACUGUUGAAAGUAGUUUCUGGUGUCCUACGAGUGUAGCGUCCGUGCUUCGUACAAAAUCGUUGGUUUGAUAUUCUCUGUACGAGAGAUACGGAGCAGCCUCCUCUUGCACUUGUUCUCGAGUGUCUGAAUUCUCCGCCUUGGCAAUCAACAUCCACAUUUCACAUCUGUAAAGCAGUAUCGAAACUGUGAGCGAAAGGAAGAACGAGAACUGCGGGCUUACACACUUCCUUUCCUUCAAAUAAAGCCGAAAGUUUAAAUCCCUUGGAAACAUCUUUCAUCACAAUCACGGCCUGUGACGGAUUUGAAAAUAACCAAACGUUACCAAACAACGAUGAAGAAUUUUCGACAGUUCAUCGGAAUUUGCGGAUUCAAGAUGCUUUUGGCUUUUCUAGGACUCCUGACUGUGUUGUACCUACUGACUUACAGCUCAACAAACAUCCUGAAGUUUCGUCAACUGAUCUCAACAGUCUGGUCACAACGCACUUCAGACCAAAACGUUACAACAGCUUACUACUUACUUCAGUGGCAGUCAAAUUAUACACUAAAACAUUCUAGCACUAACUCCACGUUUAAGUACAAUGGGACAGCUACUCAAAGACCGUGUUGCCGAGAACAUUCUUCAACAACAUAUUACCUACGUCACUUCCGAUCGAGAUUUAUAGUUGAUCCUACCAGCCAUCAACUGACGCUUGAUCAAAGGAACCUCCCUGAUUUAUCCUUCUCUAAAGUAAGGACUGACAGUAGAGCCUCUGCUGUUAACAAUAAGUUGAUUGUAUGGUAUAACAUGCCUGAGUGGAUGAAAAGAAGGUCGAAUGCUGAGGUGUUUGACCACUGUCCAGUCAGCACGUGCAAGUUGUCCACAAACUAUAGUGCGGAUAGAGCCGUUGGCGACGCUGUGGUGUUUCACGACGCUCCAUCACACAAGCCAGUGCCACCUCGAGCUUUUCCUGACCAGGUGUACGUCUUCUUCAUGUUAGAACCGCCGCCGAUUGCUGGAUCUGCGUAUCGAAACACACCGUGGAACUCAGUUUUCAAUUGGACAUGGACCUACAGGAAGGAUGCCGAUAUAAAGAAGACAUACUUCCUUCUGGAGCGUUCUCGACAGUUGCCAAAUAUUAGUUUCCUAAAAGAUUUAGUUCGAAGGAAGGAAAAGCCUGCAGCAUGGUUUGUUUCUAACUGCCAUCAGGACCAAGCCCAACGACUACGCUACGUUGAGAGACUGAAGGAAGUUCUCCCUGUGGACGUAUAUGGACGAUGUGGGACUCUGCACUGCACAACCUGGGCUAAAGAAUGCGACACCAUGCUUACCAAGUACUUUUUCUAUCUUUCCUUCGAGAACUCCUUUUUCCAGGAUUACGUGACAGAGAAGUUUUCUCGAGCCUUCUUGAAGGAUGUGUACGUGGUUCCUGUUGCGCGCGGUGGGCUGAACUACUCUCACCACUUUCCUGAAGGAACUUUUAUUAACGCCGAUGAUUUUAACAGCCCAGAAGAACUGGGGAUGUAUCUGAAAAAGCUUAUGAUGGACGAAGACGCCUACAUUGACAUGUUGUGGCGAAUCGCUCAUUUUAUCAUCGAAUCUUACGAUGAUCCUGCCCAGUUCUCGUGGUGCCAGCUGUGUGACAAGCUACACAGGCUGCAGGACAAUGCCAAGACGUAUCCAGACCUCUUUGAAUGGUACCACAGUGGUAAAUGCCGACCGCCAAGGCAAUUCUAGCGAUUACAUGAUCGAACAGUGUGUGGCAUGUGUGAAUGAACGAGCGACGUGGACUCUACUGCUUAUUUCAUUCGUUUAGACAACUGGUCAGAGUCAACAGGCAGCUAAACUACUCGACCUUUUCAUCGUCAAGUGACGUCUCGACCAAAGCAAACAGAUGACAGACAGAAAUGCCAUCGUUGACAGAUAUUAAUGCUAAUAAAUUAGUCGCUAGUAUCAUUAUUUUUACUUUUAAUUAACUGGUCUUCACAUCGGACGUUGUUAAUGUCCUUUCGAGUUUGUUAGUGGUUUGGUGAUAUUUUCUAUAUUCAAGACUGCAGUUUCGGAAAUACAACUGUUGGUACACAAGCAACAACGAAGCUGAACCCUCCGACGCCAUUUUACUCAUGACGUAAAACUUGAAUGACGACAGAUGGGUACAAUAAUAGCCAAAGGAAACAGAAAGUUCUCGAAAGAUCAGUCGAUGUGCAGCAAGAGAGGGAGAAAGAGGGAGAGGUCUGCGCCAGCAACUUGAUUUCAUCACAAGCACGAUCUGCGAAGGGGUGAAUCUUCGCAAGUUCACCAGAACUCGGAGACACAAGAUGUGUUUGGUUUUUCUGGUACUCCUGAUUGCGUUGCUUUCAACUGGACAUGGGGUUACAGGCAUGACGCAGAUAUAAGAACGACAUACUUUUAUCUGGAACAUUCCAAGCAGUUGCCAAAUAUUAGUUUCCUAAAAGAUUUAGUUCAAAAGAAGGAAAAGCCUGCGGCAUGGUUUGUUUCUAACUGCCAUGAGGACCAAGCCCAACGACUACGUUAUGUUGAGAGACUGAAGGAAGUUCUCCCUGUGGACGUAUAUGGAGCGUGUGGGACUCUGCACUGCACAACCUUGGCUAAAGAAUGCGACACCAUGCUUACCAAGUACUUUUUCUAUCUUUCCUUCGAGAACUCUUUUUGCCAGGAUUACGUGACAGAGAAGUUUUCUCGAGCCUUCUUGAAGGAUGUGUACGUGGUUCCUGUUGUGCGCGGUGGGCUGAACUACUCUCACCACUUUCCUCAAGGAAUUUUUAUCAACGCCGAUGACUUUAGCAGCCCAGAAGAACUGGGGAUGUAUCUGAAAAAAGCUGAUGAACGACGAAGACGCCUACAUUGAAAUGUUUGUGGCGAAUCGCUCACUUUGUCGACUUGGACUCUUACAAAAACCCAUACUACUACUCGUGGUGCCAUCUGUGUGACAAGCUACACAGGCUGCAGGACAAUGCCAAGACUUAUCCAGACGUCUAUGGAUGGUACCACAUUGGGAUGUGCCGACCGCCAAGGAAAUUCUAGAGCUUGGUACAGUUCGUGGCCUACACUGGUUAUCGUGCGAUGUGGUCACAACUUUUUUCUUUUAUUCGUUCAGACGGCUGAACAGGCAGAUGUACAACUCGACCUUUUCAUCAAAUAUAAAUAACAAAUGGGCAAAAGCAAGGCGCAAUAUCUUUUUUCUAUUUCUUUACAAGCUGCACUCAUUACCAGCAUUUCAAAUAGGAAAGAAAAAUGAUGUUGCCAUUGAUCAAAGGGAAAAAACUCAAGAAAUAACGAUUCAUCGCGACAACCGCCAAUUUACUUCCCUUGGAAUAUGAAGCGAGCAUUACCGUCUACUUUGCUUAAUCACAUUUUUUGCUAUGAAACCGUCUUAAAUUUUUUUUUUUUAUUUUAACGAAUUUCCCUACUUGUGGCCUCAAACUGUUUUAAGAAAGUACUUUUACUUGCUUUAAGGCUAUCGAAAUUAGCAAUCAUUGAUACACUUCUCUUGAAGAUGACAAAGAAUAUAAAAUAAAAGAAAUUGAAGUGUCA